This 3077-nucleotide small RNA is filed under the name Pongo abelii (Sumatran orangutan). Its description in RNAcentral is "processed transcript". Lineage: Eukaryota; Metazoa; Chordata; Mammalia; Primates; Hominidae. The record is from RNAcentral.
CUUGAAAAUUAUAGAAUUCCAUGCAGAUUUUCAGCCUCUGUAGGUAAGCUUUUGCAAAGUGUUUUUCUGCACUUGUCCCCCCUCCUUGCCCCUGAUCGCUCUGCCCCUCUCUUGGGGGGGUUCCUGCAUCUGUUUAUGCCCUGGAGGGCCACACCACACUCCCACAAGAUGAACAUUAUACAAAAGAAAACUCAGUGGAAGGUUCCUUCUUUAAACAGAAAGCACUCUCUUCAUCUGCCAAAUGAAGUGAGAAGGGUAGGAAAAUUAGAUUUUAUUCAAAAAAUAUAUUUAAAACUGAUGUUUUUUCAGUUCUGUCUUAGGGCUAGUUAGCAGUGUUAUGAGACACAAACAGGAAAGAGUGAGGUAGAAAGGUAUGGAAGGUACUGGGCAUGGCGGCUGAAGCUUGUAACCCCAGCGCUCUGGGAGGCCAGGGUGGGACAACUGCUUGAGGUCAGUUUGAGAACAGCCCGGGCGACAUAGCAAGACCCCAUCUCCACAGCAAAUUAAAAAAAAAAAUUAGCCACAUGUGGUGGCAUGUGCCUGUGGUCCCAGCUACUUGGGAGACUGAGGCAGGAGGAUUGCUUGACCCCAGGAGUUUGAGACCAGUCUGGGCAACAUAGCAAGACCCUGUCUCUACCACAAAAGAAAAGAAAAAGAUGGAAGGGGAAAAGAGAAGAGUUAAAAAUAAAGCAGAGAGGAAGAGCAGUAAGAACGGUGAAGGAAGGGAGGAAAGGAAGGAAAGGGAGGGAGGGAGGAAGGAAAGGGAGGAAGGGAAGGGAGGGGAGGGAAGGAAAGGGAGGAAGGGAAGGGAGGGAAGGGAAGGAAGGAAAGGGAGGGAGGGAGGAAGGAGAGGGAGGAAGGAAAGGGAGGAAGGGAAGGGAGAGAGGGAGCAAGGCAGGAAGGGAGGGAAGGAGAGAGGAAGGGAGGUAGGUUGGUUGGUUGGUUGGUCGGUCCUAGACCAAUCAGAGUUUGCAUUUCAUUUCAGCAACAUCCCUGGGACAGGGAAAGAUUUGUGCCCAUGUGAUCAAGUGUGAGAAACUCACUAAGCCCUAACUUAUUUCUGAGUCACCAUUCAGAGAUAUUGAUUUUUUCAACUUUUGAUUUCCAACUUCAAAACAAAACAAAGGGAUUCAAGAAAACUUUUGAAGGUGAUGUGUAUGUUUAUUACUCUUGUGGUGAUGGUAGCAGUAGUGUAUACUUAAGUCCCAACUCACCAAAUUACAUUAUGUGCACUAAUUACACCUUACUGAAGCUGGAAGGAAAUGAUAAUAAAAAGUUUUUGAGUUCUUGUAAUUUGACAGCAAACUGAGAUUUUACUCUUGUAACUUGUGAUCCACUGAUUCCUUCAGCAAGCAUUUGCUGACAUUUACCAAUUUCCUGAGUCUUGUUGAUGAAUACUAGAGAAGGAUGUUGAAGAGCACUAAAUAGGUAACCUCAAGCAGUGACGUUAUAUCUGAAUAAAGUGACUGAGGUUCACUUUUAAGUAGGCAGCGUGCUUUGAGGCCUGAAAGGGCUCGGGUUGAAUGGGCCCUGCCAGCCAUGGAUCCUUGUGUAGAGGCUGGGCAAAAAAAUGCUCCAUUUUACCCCUUUCGCCAAGAAUUUAAAUAGCCCCUUUUCCUGCUCGUUUGGCCAAGUAGAAGGGAAAGCCUUUGAGGCUAUUCAUGUUUUCACUGCCUGGUUUUCUGGGUCAGGAUUAGGUCAUGACCAUUUCAUGUUUGUUCAUUUGGCCUUGGGCCCCUGGGGCAGGUAGGGUCUGGCCAGGGGAAAGAUUCUUUUCCAGAUUCUUUUUUUUUUUUUUUUUGAGAUGGAGUCUCGCUCUGUGGCUCAGGCUGGAGUGCAGUGGCACGAUCUCAGCUCACUGCAACCUCCGCCUCCCAGGUUCAAGUGAUUCUCCUGCCUCAGCCUUCUGAGUAGCUGGGAUCACAGGUGUCUGCCACCACACCCGGCUAAUUUUUGUAUUUUUAGUAGAGACGGGGUUUCACCAUGUUGGUCAGGUAGUCUCAAACUCCUGACCUCAGGUGAUCCGCCCGCCUCGGCCUCCCAAAGUACAGGCAUGAGCCACCGCGCCCAGUCCUUUUCCAGAUUCUUGUAGCCAGCAAAGACCAGCACCAAACGUUUGCUGGGCUAAUGGAUGGGUGGAUGCAAAUGAAUGUUUGCAUUUGAAUGAAAUGACUGAGAACAAAUCUUUGCCUGCUUUCAAGUUGUUGAGUGUCCCUCUACUGCAUCAGAGGAGGGGUUUUUCUAUUUGUAUGUUAUUCCUCGCCUGUCAUGACAACAGUGUUUUUGAACAAUGGUGAAAAGGAGCUCCCUCUUUGAUUUUUGUAGAUGGCAGUUGAAUUCCUGCAUGAACUGAAUGUUCCAUUUUUCAAAGUUGGAUCUGGAGACACUAAUAAUUUUCCUUAUCUGGAAAAGACAGCCAAAAAAGGUCGCCCAAUGGUGAUCUCCAGCGGGAUGCAGUCGAUGGACACCAUGAAGCAAGUUUAUCAGAUCGUGAAGCCCCUCAACCCCAACUUCUGCUUCUUGCAGUGUACCAGCGCGUACCCGCUCCAGCCUGAGGACGUCAACUUGCGGGUCAUCUCGGAAUAUCAGAAGCUCUUUCCUGACAUUCCCAUAGGGUAUUCUGGGCAUGAAACAGGCAUAGCGAUAUCUGUGGCCGCAGUGGCUCUGGGGGCCAAGGUGUUGGAACGUCACAUAACUUUGGACAAGACCUGGAAGGGGAGUGACCACUCGGCCUCGCUGGAGCCUGGAGAACUGGCCGAGCUGGUGCGGUCAGUGCAUCUUGUGGAGCGUGCCCUGGGCUCCCCAACCAAGCAGCUGCUGCCCUGUGAGAUGGCCUGCAAUGAGAAGCUGGGCAAGUCUGUGGUGGCCAAAGUGAAAAUUCCGGAAGGCACCAUUCUAACAAUGGACAUGCUCACCGUGAAGGUGGGUGAGCCCAAAGGCUAUCCUCCUGAAGACAUCUUUAAUCUAGUGGGCAAGAAGGUCCUGGUCACUGUUGAAGAGGAUGACACCAUCAUGGAAGAAUUGGUAGAUAAUCAUGGCAAAAAAAUCAAGUCUUAAAAAUAAAGUGCCAUUCUCUG